RNAcentral lists this transfer RNA (71 nucleotides) under Marmota monax (woodchuck). RNAcentral describes it as "tRNA.Thr". The stretch from base 4 to 66 matches the Rfam family "tRNA", at positions 5 to 66 of the family's 71-position model. Rfam says of the family: Transfer RNA (tRNA) molecules are approximately 80 nucleotides in length. Their secondary structure includes four short double-helical elements and three loops (D, anti-codon, and T loops). Further hydrogen bonds mediate the characteristic L-shaped molecular structure. tRNAs have two regions of fundamental functional importance: the anti-codon, which is responsible for specific mRNA codon recognition, and the 3' end, to which the tRNAs corresponding amino acid is attached (by aminoacyl-tRNA synthetases). tRNAs cope with the degeneracy of the genetic code in two manners: having more than one tRNA (with a specific anti-codon) for a particular amino acid; and 'wobble' base-pairing, i.e. permitting non-standard base-pairing at the 3rd anti-codon position. The record is from RNAcentral. Lineage: Eukaryota; Metazoa; Chordata; Mammalia; Rodentia; Sciuridae.
UAUAUGUAGCUCAAUUGUAGAGUGCUUGCCUAGUACGUGUGAGGCCCUGGGUUCGAUCCUCAGCAUCAUAU